GGAUAGCCCCUUCGUACGAAAGGAGUUGGGUAUAUUAACCUCUGGUUUACCUGUUGUUUAUACGCUUAAUAUUAGUCAUUGGCUUUUGCUUUUGAAAAAAAAUAAUCUGAAAAUUCAGAUUAUGGGUAUUGCUUUUACUCAAGUAUAUAUAUAUAGUAUAGGCAGGGCAGGAAAGCUAUGUUAGUUAAAGAUAAGUGCUGAAUGCAUAUAGGCACGAAACUUAC
Molecule: non-coding RNA, 224 nt
Filed under: Macrophomina phaseolina MS6
Lineage: Eukaryota; Fungi; Ascomycota; Dothideomycetes; Botryosphaeriales; Botryosphaeriaceae
Description: Archaeal large subunit ribosomal RNA
Rfam family: Bacterial large subunit ribosomal RNA
Source: Rfam by way of RNAcentral